This 75-nucleotide transfer RNA is filed under the name Gammaproteobacteria bacterium ESL0073. RNAcentral's name for it is "tRNA-Cys". It matches the Rfam family "tRNA". From Rfam's summary of the family: Transfer RNA (tRNA) molecules are approximately 80 nucleotides in length. Their secondary structure includes four short double-helical elements and three loops (D, anti-codon, and T loops). Further hydrogen bonds mediate the characteristic L-shaped molecular structure. tRNAs have two regions of fundamental functional importance: the anti-codon, which is responsible for specific mRNA codon recognition, and the 3' end, to which the tRNAs corresponding amino acid is attached (by aminoacyl-tRNA synthetases). tRNAs cope with the degeneracy of the genetic code in two manners: having more than one tRNA (with a specific anti-codon) for a particular amino acid; and 'wobble' base-pairing, i.e. permitting non-standard base-pairing at the 3rd anti-codon position. The record is from RNAcentral. RNAcentral also lists the same sequence under 4 other names. Lineage: Bacteria; Pseudomonadati; Pseudomonadota; Gammaproteobacteria.
GGCCGGGUGGCAGAAUGGCUUAUGCAGCGGAUUGCAAAUCCGUCUAUGCCGGUUCGAUUCCGACCCCGGCCUCCA